RNAcentral lists this ribosomal RNA (380 nucleotides) under uncultured marine Chaetocerotaceae. RNAcentral describes it as "SSU rRNA". It matches the Rfam family "Eukaryotic small subunit ribosomal RNA", at positions 587 to 972 of the family's 1831-position model. The record is from RNAcentral. Lineage: Eukaryota; Bacillariophyta; Thalassiosirophyceae; Chaetocerotales; Chaetocerotaceae.
AGCUCCAAUAGCGUAUAUUUUAGUUGUUGCAGUUAAAAAGCUCGUAGCCGUAUUUCUGGUGGGAGAAUGCAGUCCGACUUUAUGUCGGUACUCGCAUCCUCCGGCCAUCCUUGGGUCUAGCCAGUUUGGCAUUAAGUUGUCGAGCUGGGGAUGCCCAUCGUUUACUGUGAAAAAAUUAGAGUGUUCAAAGCAGACUUAUGUCGUUGAAUAUAUUAGCAUGGAAUAAUAAAAGAGGACAUCAGUGCUAUUUUGUUGGUUUGCGCACCGAUGUAAUGAUAAAUAGGAACAGUUGUGGGUAUUCGUAUUCAUUUGUAAGAGGUGAAAUUCUUAGAUUAAAGGAAGACGAACUACUGCGAAAGCAUUUAGCAGGGAUGUUUUCA